CUUUCCCUUCACCUUUUGUUUUUUAAAGCUGUAUAUAUGAAAUUUCAAGGCCCUUUAAUCUGAUAACACUGUCUUUAAAUAAUAAUAAUAAUAAUAAUAAUCUGAUACAUACUAUUUAACAUAACUUUCCAUUCUUGUUUGAACUAGAAAACAUUGCUCUCGUGCCUUAAAAAAGAAUUUUAUACUUGGUAUUGUCUUGAAGAGUUACCAGCCUGCAUAACAAGCAAAGAUCCAGUAAUGGGAGCUUGAGUUCUAUGAGGAUGCUACAAAAAAAUUUCAAACAAGAGCUCAGCUCAAUCAACUCAGUUUGGCUGGGCUGCCCAGCUCAGUGUUGAGUUUAAAGUAUCAUAUACAAAUAAAACACACAAACACAUGGAGUGAUGAUUGAUUCAUCCCCGUGGUUGACUGGGUGUUCAAUAGGGACAGACAAUCUUAUUACUUAGGACUCGGAUCCAAUGAUACCUAAAUUGCCAAUCCCUCUACCUUUGCUGUUCCAAAUCUUGCAAUCUAGAUUAUCGGUCAGUUGUGAUCUGGAUUGCUAUUUUUACUGACUGGAACUUGUGCGUCUAUAAUCUUAGUUUUGUUGAAGUUGUAAUGUAAAUUUAUAUUUGUGAUGCAGCAAUUUGUACUUUCAUUUAUGCAAUAGCGUGAAUACAAUAUAGUACUAAUAAUAACAUCCAUCAUUUCAUAUAUAAAUUAUCAUAUGAAUUCAGCAUGUAAAACUAAGGAAGGGUACUAUGAGGUCAUGGGAGAUUCCCAUAAGGUCGAGCUCUGUGGGGCCUCACCAUCAUGUUUCUCAGACAUCCACCCUGUGCAUCAGAUGCACCCUCCCAUGGUGGGCCAUGGGCGCAAAAAUGAGGCUAAUCCAUCACUUAGGUGGGUCACACCAUGGGGAAUAGUUAAGAAUAUAUGCCCAUCAAUUAAAACCUUCCUUGUUUGUAGGGCCCACCCAGAUAUGGUUCAGACAUCUGUCCCACUCCCAUUCAUUGUUUGCAUUCCACCUGGAUGAAGGGGUCACACAAAAUUUUAGGGCAUUCAAAAACUCAGGUGGGGCCCACCAAGUGAUUUUAGACGUUGUAGGCAUGAUUUCACACAGAUCCAGAUGGUGUGGCCCUCCUGAGUUCUGGAUACGGCUGAUUUUUGGGACAUCCCAUAACCUGGAGGGGACUGACCAAAUGCACAAUGUAGAUGUCCAAGACACAUCAUCGUGGGAGACUGGAAGCUCGACCUCGUGGGGGGCUCCCAUGAGGUCAACCUCACAGUGCCUUUUCUCAUAAAACAAUAUUGCAUGUACUUGGUGUAUGAACUAGAGCUACCUGCAUGAUCAUACCCCUAGUUUACCCCAUAUGGGAGGACAUCGAAUUCUGCAUAGAUGGUUCGUGUACUACAACUAGAGCAACUGGUCAUCCAUGUAACCAUGGUCCAAUCUCUUGCUAUCAUCUGCUUUCUACGUGAAAUAUUUUGGCACUCUUCUUGGAAUGUUGGUUUUGAGUGUUUGAGUUUUAUCUCUGUAGAGCUGUACUUCGACAAGGCCUAUUUUGGUGUCCUGUAUACCUUUAUCUCUCUAGAAAUGUCUUUUAUACAACAUGCCUUUUCGAUAUUGCUGUAUGGAAAAUUAAAUGUCUGUCGCUGUCUUUAUACAAUAGAUACUGCCGCCUUCCAGAAAUCUAGAAUAAAGAUUUCAUCUUGUGCUGGUUUAUCUAUAUUUUGAUCUUCUAUUCGUCUUGUGUUGUUUGAAAUGGUAAGAGGGAUUGGGGAUUUUCCAGAUAGGGUAGAGACCUGUUGGCUUAUGAUUUGGAAAAUCAGGUCAGUUCUUCGACUAUCACGCUGGCAGGAGAAGAUGCUGGUUGGCAGCUUUCUCCUCUUUUGUUGUGUGUUGCAUUUUCAGUGCCCAAGGAAGACCAAGCAAUUCUAGUGGAACAAAAUUUUCUAGAAUGGCUGUUACUGAAUGCGGAUAAAACUUAUGUAAAACUCAACUGCCUUUAUUCAGUAACAACUCUGUCAUUAGACUGCAAUUCCUGAUCUCACAAAAAUUCAUAUAAAGAAAUCCCGGCAUUUGCUUAGGGGUUUGUUCUCAUGGGAGUUGCAACUUUAUGAAAGUGAGAGUUAGCUUAUAUGAAAGAGUCUUUUAAUUAUUUGAAAGCGACUUAUUAUUUCGCCCUCUUUCCCUUAUCUGAUUCACUGUCUUAGGAGCUUCACAAUGGAAAGACUUCUCUUGUGAUGUUUAAACCAGUGAUAAAUUAAUUUCUUCCUGCAUCUGCGUGUGGUCUCAUGCGAGCUGCCAUUUGAUCUUGAAGGAUCAUUUGGACGAGACCAAGCAGACAUUCGCAUUUGGGUGCCUGUAUACUAUGUGUAUGUAUGUAUAUUUAAGCCAACUCCAAAUAGUGGGUACAAGCUAGGAUGAUGAUGAUGAUCACUAUUGUCAAAAUCGUAAGAUUUAUGAUCUGAAUCAUA
This is a long non-coding RNA of Magnolia sinica, 2454 nucleotides long. RefSeq lists it as uncharacterized. NCBI's taxonomy places the organism in Eukaryota, Viridiplantae, Streptophyta, Magnoliopsida, Magnoliales, Magnoliaceae. The record is from RefSeq and is a predicted model, not a curated record. The transcript is spliced from 2 exons.